RNAcentral lists this long non-coding RNA (635 nucleotides) under Elaeis guineensis (African oil palm). Its description in RNAcentral is "long non-coding RNA (EGUI_LNC015504)". The record is from RNAcentral. Lineage: Eukaryota; Viridiplantae; Streptophyta; Magnoliopsida; Arecales; Arecaceae.
GGUUCCCUGUGCACCAGAAGCGGAAGGGAAGGCACGCCAUUAAUUCCUCCAAGCUUUCUUUCUCUUUCAUUCCUUCUCAAAAACCCAUCUCAAAGAGAGGAAGAAGAUGAAGAAAGUUAGCCUCUUAGCAGUGUUUUUGGUCUUGUUGUUGAGUCCGCAGCGUCAUGUGGAGGCCAAGGGUGGUUUCAUAAGGACGAAGGGGCUGCAUUUUGUUCUGAAUAGGUACCCAUUCUUCGCCAAUGGUUUCAAUGCCUACUGGCUCACCUACGUGGCCUCGGUUCCUUCUCAGAGGUACAAGGUCUCGAAUGCCUUCAGAGAAGCCUCCAGCCAUGGGCUCUCUGUGGCCAGGACCUUUGGGGCCCUUUCGAAUUGGAUGGGGGGANCACAGCGUUGCAGUACUCCCUGGUUCUUACAAUGAGCAAAUGUUCAAGGUCUUACAAUNNNNNNNNNNNNNNNNNNNNCCUACUGGCUCACCUACGUGGCCUCGGAUCCUUCUCAGAGGUACAAGGUCUCGAAUGCCUUCAGAGAAGCCUCCAGCCAUGGGCUCUCUGUGGCCAGGACUUGGGCCUUCAAUGAUGGGGGGAGCACAGCGUUGCAGUACUCCCCUGGUUCUUACAAUGAGCAAAUGUUCAAGG